RNAcentral lists this ribosomal RNA (253 nucleotides) under uncultured bacterium. RNAcentral describes it as "partial 16S ribosomal RNA". It matches the Rfam family "Bacterial small subunit ribosomal RNA", at positions 524 to 776 of the family's 1533-position model. The record is from RNAcentral.
GACGAACCGAGCGAACGUUAUUCGGAAUCACUGGGCUUAAAGGGCGCGUAGGCGGGUCAGCAAGUCAGGGGUGAAAUCCCACGGCUCAACCGUGGAAGUGCCUUUGAUACUGUUGAUCUCGAGGGAGGUAGGGGCGUGCGGAACUUCCGGUGGAGCGGUGAAAUGCGUAGAUAUCGGAAGGAACAUCAGUGGCGAAAGCGACUUCCUGGACCAGUACCGACGUUCAGGCACGAAAGCGUGGGGAGCAAACAGG